Molecule: ribosomal RNA, 492 nt
Filed under: uncultured bacterium
Lineage: Bacteria
Description: partial 16S ribosomal RNA
Rfam family: Bacterial small subunit ribosomal RNA
Source: RNAcentral
AGUGAACGCUGGCGGUAGGCCUAAUACAUGCAAGUCGAACGGCAGCACAGUAAGAGUUCGCUCUUACGGGUGGCGAGUGGCGGACGGGUGAGGCAUACAUCGGAAUCUACUUUUUCUUGGGGGAUAACGUAGGGAAACUUACGCUAACACCGCAUAUGACGUACGGGAGAAAGCAGUGGAUCUUCGGACCUUUGCCGAUUGUAUGAGCCGAAGUCGCAUUAGCUAGUUGGGUGGGUAAAGGCCCACCAAGGCGACGAUACGUAGCGGGUCUGAGAGGAUGAUCAGCCACACUGGAACUGAGACACGGUCCAGACUCCUACGGGAGGCAGCAGUGGGGAAUAUUCCGCAAUGGGCGCAAGCCUGAUCCAGCCAUACCGCGUGAGUGAAGAAGGUCUUCGGAUUGUAAAGCCCUGUUAUUAGGAAAGAAAAACAGCGGAUUAAUAUCCCGCUGUUCUGACGGUACCCAAAGAGUAAGCACCGGCUAACUUCGUG